AACAACAGAUAUAACAGUAAGUUGGUGGUCCUGUAAAAGCUGUUAUAGAAUACACACAAGCACACAGUCAUGUUAGCAGGCAGAAAGUCAUGUUAGCAGGCAGAAAGUCAUGUUAGCAGGCAGAAAGUCAUGUUAGCAGGCAGAAAGUCAUAUUAGCAGGUUAAGCAUGUCUCUAGGCACACAGUCAUGUUGGUAUGGAACACAGUCAUGUUAGCAGGUUAGCAUGUUUCUAGGCACACAGUCAUGUUGGUAUGGAACACAGUCAUGUUAGCAGGUUACCAUGUUUCUAGGCACACAGUCAUUUUGGUAUGGAACACAGUCAUGUUGGUAUGGUACACAGUCAUGUUGGUAUGGAACACAGUCAUGUUAGCAGGUUAGCAUGUUUCUAGGCACACAGUCAUGUUGGUAUGGAACACAGUCAUGUUGGUAUGGAACACAGUCAUGUUAGCAGGUUAGCAUGUUUCUAGGCACACAGUCAUUUUGGUAUGGAACACAGUCAUGUUAGCAGGUUAGCAUGUUUCUAGGCACACAGUCAUGUUGGUAUGGAACACAGUCAUGUUGGUAUGGAACACAGUCAUGUUAGCAUGUCUCUAGGCACACAGUCAUGUUGGUAUGGUACACAGUCAUGUUAGCAUGUCUCUAGGCACACAGUCAUGUUGGUAUGGAACACAGUCAUGUUGGUAUGGUACACAGUCAUGUUAGCAUGUCUCUAGGCAGUCAUGUCAGCAGUCAUGUCUCUAGGCACACAGUCAUGUUGGUAUGGAACACAGUCAUGUUAGCAGGUACACAGUCAUGUUAGCAGGUACACAGUCAUGUUAGCAGGCACACAGUCAUGUUAGCAGGUACACAGUCAUGUUAGCAGGUACACAGUCAUGUUAGCAGGCACACAGUCAUGUUAGCAGGUACACAGUCAUGUUAGCAGGUACACAGUCAUGUUAGCAGGCACACAGUCAUGUUAGCAGGUACACAGUCAUGUUAGCAGGUACACAGUCAUGUUAGCAGGCACACAGUCAUGUUGGUAUGGAACACAGUCAUGUUAGCAGGUUAGCAUGUUUCUAGGCACACAGUCAUGUUGGUAUGGAACACAGUCAUGUUAGCAGGUUACCAUGUUUCUAGGCACACAGUCAUUUUGGUAUGGAACACAGUCAUGUUAGCAGGUUAGCAUGUUUCUAGGCACACAGUCAUGUUGGUAUGGAACACAGUCAUGUUGGUAUGGAACACAGUCAUGUUAGCAGGUUAGCAUGUUUCUAGGCACACAGUCAUGUUGGUAUGGAACACAGUCAUGUUGGUAUGGUACACAGUCAUGUUGGUAUGGAACACAGUCAUGUUGGUAUGGAACACAGUCAUGUUGGUAUGGUACACAGUCAUGUUGGUAUGGAACACAGUCAUGUUGGUAUGGAACACAGUCAUGUUGGUAUGGAACACAGUCAUGUUGGUAUGGAACACAGUCAUGUUAGCAGGUACACAGUCAUGUUAGCAGGUACACAGUCAUGUUAGCAGGUACACAGUCAUGUCAGCAGUCAUGUCUCUAGGCACACAGUCAUGUUAGCAGGUACACAGUCAUGUUAGCAGGUUAGCAUGUCUCUAGGCACACAGUCAUGUUAGCAGGUACACAGUCAUGUCAGCAGUCAUGUCUCUAGGCACACAGUCAUGUUAGCAGGUACACAGUCAUGUUAGCAGGUUAGCAUGUCUCUAGGCACACCAUUAGUGAAUCAGUGAGCGCACCAGUCUCUGAUGAAUUUGCCAUUGUAUAGA
Long non-coding RNA from Oncorhynchus keta (chum salmon), 1755 nucleotides. RefSeq lists it as uncharacterized. NCBI's taxonomy places the organism in Eukaryota, Metazoa, Chordata, Actinopteri, Salmoniformes, Salmonidae. The record is from RefSeq and is a predicted model, not a curated record. The transcript is spliced from 3 exons.